Molecule: long non-coding RNA, 253 nt
Filed under: Sorghum bicolor (sorghum)
Lineage: Eukaryota; Viridiplantae; Streptophyta; Magnoliopsida; Poales; Poaceae
Description: long non-coding RNA (SBIC_LNC004915)
Source: RNAcentral
AAAUAAUCAUAUAGUUAUCCUUGGGCGAUCUUGGAUCUUAAUUAGUACACUCAUGUUCUCUGUGGAAAAUCGAUACUCUGGAAUACUCCCGGGUGAAGGCUACAUCGGUAUCCGUGCACUUGCGGAUUUUUCUGUUUGCGUUUAAAAUACCCAACAUUGAGUCAUUUGGAACUCAUGCACGUCGAUCAGAAGUCUUUGAGAAAAUGAUGGGUGCAUGUGGGCCACUUAAUUCAGGAGGUUCUGCCACAGCUGG